AAGUUAAUAUGCUAACAUGAGUUUAAAAAAAAAGAAAAAAAGAAAAUCAAGUUAAAUGGGAUAAACAUGGCAUGAGAACGGCAUGUUUCAAUGUGGGCUUGGGCUUUCGGUCGGGUUGAGAUCAAUGAUUUUGAUAAAUGGGCCUGCAUAACCCAAUUAAUUAAAUGGACCGACUCGGCCCAAAUAACUUAGUUGCAUGAAUUUAAAUGGGUUGGGCCGGCACGGCACGACACGACCUGAUUGACACCUUCAUGACCCCCACCCUCCUUACCCAUCAACUGUCGUCGAGCACCCCAAACCCACCCAAAAUUGAUCUCUACAGCCAAUCACUCCCUACCCACUG
Molecule: long non-coding RNA, 343 nt
Filed under: Prunus persica (peach)
Lineage: Eukaryota; Viridiplantae; Streptophyta; Magnoliopsida; Rosales; Rosaceae
Description: long non-coding RNA (PPER_LNC007804)
Source: RNAcentral